This 380-nucleotide ribosomal RNA is filed under the name uncultured eukaryote. RNAcentral's name for it is "partial 18S ribosomal RNA". It matches the Rfam family "Eukaryotic small subunit ribosomal RNA", at positions 592 to 976 of the family's 1831-position model. The record is from RNAcentral.
CAAUAGCGUAUAUUAAAGUUGUUGCGGUUAAAAAGCUCGUAGUUGGAUUUCUGCUGAGAACGACCGGUCCGCCCUUUGGGUGUGUAUCUGGCUCUUUCUUGGCAUCUUCUUGGUGAACGUUGCUGCACUUGACUGUGUGGAGCGCUACCCAGGACUUUUACUUUGAGGAAAUUAGAGUGUUUCAAGCAGGCAUACGCCUUGAAUACAUUAGCAUGGAAUAAUAAGAUAGGACCUCGGUUCUAUUUUGUUGGUUUCUAGAGCUGAGGUAAUGAUUAAUAGGGAUAGUUGGGGGCAUUCGUAUUUAACUGUCAGAGGUGAAAUUCUUGGAUUUAUUAAAGACUAACAUCUGCGAAAGCAUUUGCCAAGGAUGUUUUCAUUAA